CUACGGGAUGCAGCAGUGAGGAAUUUUGCGCAAUGGGGGAAACCCUGACGGAGCGACGCCGCGUGCGGGAUGAAGGCCUUCGGGUUGUAAACCGCUGUCAGUGGGGAGGAAAUGCAUCAGGGUUCUCCCUGGUGUUUGACCGAUCCGCAGAGGAAGCGCAGGCUAAGUUCGUGCCAGCAGCCGCGGUAACACGAACUGCGCGAACGUUAUUCGGAAUCACUGGGCUUAAAGAGUUCGUAGGCGGCCUUUCAAGUCGGGUGUGAAAUCCCUCGGCUCAACCGAGGAAUUGCGCCUGAUACUGUUGGGCUUGAGGGGAUAGGGGUGAGCGGAACUGAUGGUGGAGCGGUGAAAUGCGUUGAUAUCAUCAGGAACACCGGUGGCGAAGGCGGCUCACUGGAUCUCUUCUGACGCUGAGGAACGAAAGCUAGGGGAGCGAACGGGAUUAGAUACCCGGGUAGUC
This 460-nucleotide ribosomal RNA is filed under the name uncultured bacterium. RNAcentral describes it as "partial 16S ribosomal RNA". It matches the Rfam family "Bacterial small subunit ribosomal RNA", at positions 339 to 795 of the family's 1533-position model. The record is from RNAcentral.